Molecule: long non-coding RNA, 1750 nt
Organism: Homo sapiens (human)
Lineage: Eukaryota; Metazoa; Chordata; Mammalia; Primates; Hominidae
Source: Ensembl
ACUCCUCCGGUUCCGGGCAGGGAACGCCGGGGCCCAGGCGCAGCCAUCCUGGAGCUGAGCUUUCGGUCCGGGCUCCCUGCCCGUGCCCGGCAGCCGCUCCAGAAACCGAGCCCUCCCGGGCCCGCCCUCACCUGUCACGCCGCUACAGCCGCCGCCGUCUCCAUCUUGGGCCUCUCUUCUUGUUUCCUCACAGAGUCCGCCUCCGUCGCCUCUCGGACUCUCGUUAUUGGCUCUGCGGGACUCAGCCUUCCACCCUUAUUGGGUCAGGGUCACGUCUGUCAAGGCAAGACCAACGGAAUGCAGUAUUUGAAGACAGACCUCUGGCUCCAUCGUUCAACGUUUACAAAAAGAUGAGAAAAAUGCCAGCAAAAGCUCAUUGCUUUUGCAGGAUGGGGGAAGGAGGGGAAGGGUAGGGGACAUAGCCCACUCAAAGGCAAUGCUUUCUCCCCCAAGGACUCAUAGACUCACUUCACACCCAUCUCAACUGGCACUUCAGCCAAGUACCUUACAGGUACCUGACACUUUAAAGCAUGAAGUCCUUUAAAGUGAUUUAGGUUUGGUUUUCUUUUGUUUUGCGACAGAGUCUCGCUCUGUCACCCAGGCUGGAGUGCAGUGGUGCAAUCACAGCUCACUGCGGCCUCGACCUCCUGGGCUCAAGCCAUCUUCCCAGAAAGCUGGGACCACAGACGCAUGUCACAGCGCCUGGCCUUUUUGACUUUUUGUCAUUAUCAUCACCACCAUAUUUAAACCAUUAGAAGUACCAUGUAUUAAGACAAAAAUUAAAACCCAAACUAGUUGAUUAUAGUUUUCUGACAUCCCCCUUGUAAUUAUCCAUCUGGAAAAAAAUGUAAAGUUAUCAAAGUACUUGUUGGUUUUUAUUGUUGUUCAUUUUAAAGUCUCAGAAAUAUGUCUGAAAAUUUUUUAAAAUCUGAAGUGUUCACCGACUGCCGUUGUAAUGCUACUUUUAUAGCUGAGGACAUUAAGGUUCAGGCUGCCCUAACCAGAGGGGAAAAGGAGAGAGUGCUCCAGGACUUCGUUUGAUAAAAAGUGUUUAACAAGGGUGCGGGCCAUGGGCACCUCCUUAAGGAAUCCCAGAUCCACCCAGCAGUCCUGCGUGCCUGGGGACCUCCUCUAAAACGUGCGACUCUCAUUUUCCAAAGCCGCCGACCUCACCGGCCCCUGCUGCGGCCUGGAGAGCGCCAUCUCUGGGACCCCCUCCCACCGCCGUCCUCUCAGCUGUUCAUUUCGGGGGAGUUGACCGUGCAUGCACAUUUCUCUGAGACCGGGAACACAGGUUUGACUCAGGCCCCUCAACCACCAGCUCCUCUCUGCCAACCCAGGGAGCCUCUCUCCGCAACAGGCCCCCCCCAACAGGCAGCGAGAUCUGCCAAUAGCAGUGCAGUAGAAGGCGGGCCUUGGGAUACCCUGGGCAUUGAUAGGCUCUACUUCACCACGGAGCCACUGACAGACCAAUAGCUAUGCACAGGAGGUGGCCAAUGGGAGGUGUGUGGGCCUGAGACCGGCUACAAACAAGGAACUUAAUGUUGCUUUUAAAUCAGUGAUGAGGCAACAGUAAUUGUUCCAUCGAAAUCCUUAAUAAAAGUAGAGUGUGGAAGUUUCCACUUCUGUACAUUCCUAGAAGGGAUUUUUAAUAUACAACCCUGGGGGGAGAGGUGUAGGAAAUUUACAAGUAAGUGAAUUUAACCAUGACUUUUUAACUGUUCUUAUUAAAAAGUCUUUCUUAGCAAAA